GUUUAUAUUCUAUAUUUCUGAAUAAUUGUUUACAUUCAAUUUAUGAAACACAGAUAUUUCAUUUUUUUUAAAGUAAAGCCUUAUUCUGAUGCUAAUAAAGAAAAUUAUAAAAAUUAAAUAAUUCAAUGUAUUAUAUUAUCAUUGUAUGUACGUAUGACCUGAGAAUAUAGUCUAACUACAACAUCAGCAUACGACGGGCAUGAUGUGAAGUGAACUGCUAAAAAUCAGAACAAGAGAAGGUAAUAGACUUUUGAGAGUCAUAAUAGCAUCCGAUUGUUUGUACUUCGCUAUAUGCUACGUAUCUUCGAAAAGGGUCGUUUAUUCCGUAAAUUGAUGGUAUUUUUUAGCACUAGAUUCGUCUACAAAACACAUUGUAGGGGAUAUACAUUUUUGUAUUAGUAUGUAUUCACUGUAUGCAUCGGUUUUCUUUCGUAGACCUUUUAUACAAUGUUUUGCCAAAACGAUGUGAAAAGCGAAAGAUCAAACACAGGUCUUAGUUGCACCUCAAUAAUUCUUAAUUAUCUAAUACAGCGUCUCAAUUAAAACCUGUUUAUGAUGUUGUUAUGUAUACACAUGUUUUACUGUACAGCCGUAACUUCUCUUUGACAUCUGAGGCGGAAGUACACUAUUUUGACGCAAACUGUUUUAUUAUAACAGAACGUACUUUCCAAUACUUUAUUGACACCGACGUAACAAUAAUAAAAAGAAAAUAAGAAUAACAGCCAUUUUUCUGUUUGUAUGUACUAUUCCGGGGGGGGGGUAGUGUGAUUGAACAAAGCAAUCGAAAAUUUUGCAAAUAAACACAUAGUCUCACGAGAUAGCUUGAUGAUUAUUACAUAGCAUACCGUUUACGAUAGUGCUUUCAUAACUGUGAACUAAUGUAAACAUAAAUUAUAUUGCAAUCUAAAAUAUACCUAUAGUCGUCAUGUUUUGUUAUCACGAUUUCGGAAUGAUAAAUUAAUUUGCAAAAACGUAUAAUUAUCUUUUUCUACAAUGUUCUUUUGUUGGUACCAGUCCUCAUGAAAGAUGAAAAGACAGAAUGCAGACAAGUUUGGAUGUUUAAGGCACAUACACUAGCAACGUCGUAUGAAGAACGGGACAAAACGAACAAACACACCUAAAGAAAUCGUUUUUAAAAUAUUUCACCGGUGACUUUGAUUGUGUGUUUCUUAAACAUAUAUGGAUGAGUGUUAUUGACAAAAGUU
RNAcentral lists this long non-coding RNA (1205 nucleotides) under Mytilus galloprovincialis (Mediterranean mussel). The record is from RNAcentral. Lineage: Eukaryota; Metazoa; Mollusca; Bivalvia; Mytilida; Mytilidae.